This 437-nucleotide unclassified non-coding RNA is filed under the name Hevea brasiliensis (rubber tree). The record is from RNAcentral. Lineage: Eukaryota; Viridiplantae; Streptophyta; Magnoliopsida; Malpighiales; Euphorbiaceae.
UGAGGCCACAGGCUCUUUCUUCCUAUGUGUUCAUAGCAGCUAAUAUCAUCCUCCAUGCGUCUAAGGCAUUUCAAGCCAGACAUUUGGAUGAAUUACUUCCCCCUAUAGUUCCAUUGUUAACCUCUCAUCACCACAGCUUGCGGGGUUUUACUCAGUUGCUAGUCAACCAAGUGUUUUUAAAAUAUUUUUCUCAAUUGGAAUUUGGAGCCUCUGAAACUGUGCCUUUGGAGAAAAGGUGCUUUGAAGAUCUGAAAUUAUACCUGGCAAAAAACCCUGAUUGUAGUCGCUUACGAGCAUCAAUGAAAGGAUAUCUCGAUGCCUAUAAUCCCAUUAUCUCCAGUACUCCAGCUGGAAUUUUUGUCGACCGGGUUGAGGAAUUUCAGUUUGAAUGCGUUCCAACAUCCAUCGUUUAGAAAGUUGAGCACUUCCUCCAAGAG